This 476-nucleotide ribosomal RNA is filed under the name uncultured bacterium. Its description in RNAcentral is "partial 16S ribosomal RNA". It matches the Rfam family "Bacterial small subunit ribosomal RNA", at positions 28 to 507 of the family's 1533-position model. The record is from RNAcentral.
GACGAACGCUGGCGGCGUGCCUAAUACAUGCAAGUUGAGCGCUGAAGGUUGGUACUUGUACCAACUGGAUGAGCAGCGCACGGGUGAGUAACGCGUGGGGACUCUGCCUUUGAGCGGGGGACCACAUUUGGACACGAAUGCUAAUACCGCAUAAAAUCUUUAAACACAAGUUUUAAGGUUGAAAGAUGCCAUUGCAUCACUCAGAGAUGAUCCCGCGUUGUAUUAGCUAGUUGGUGAGGUAAAGGCUCACCAAGGCGAUGAUAGAUAGCCGGCCUGAGAGGGUGACCGGCCAAAUUGGGACUGAGAUACGGCACAGACGGGUAGGGGAGGCAGGAGUGGGGAAGAUGGAACGAUGGGGGGAAGUCUGAGGGAGCAACGACGCGUGCGGGAUGACGGCCGUCGGGUUGUAAACCGCGUUCGCCUGUGACGAAGCGUGAGUGACGGUAAUGGGUAAAGAAGAACCGGCUAACUACGUG